UCCUUUGAUUUUGAGGAAGGUUUAAAGCUAGCGGCACUUUUAAUACAUGCUAGUCAAACGGGGAAUAUAGGCGCCUUCGGCGCCCGCCCUGUGGCAAACAGGUGAGUAAUGUACCGAUUUUACCCAAAAGAAGCACCCAAAUGGUGCGGCGCUUUUUUAUUACUUGCCCGCGCCUUCGGCGCGCGCCCUAAAAAAGAGAGCGCGGCUAAUGACAAGGGCGCCUAUGGCGCCGGAUCGGUCGACGGCGCUCGGUUACUUUUGGAAAGAUCGGAAUUCGUAUUAGACGAGAAGAGUUUUUUAUUUUUAAAAUGCCGGGGGCCCUUCGGACCCCCGGGGCCCGGUUUUUUCCGGGCCCGCUUCUGUCAAUGAUGCGUAGCUGAGAGGUCACAGUUAUACUGAAACAAGGAUAACCGCGCUAAUGCGCGCCAGCAGUAGAGAAUUUUGGGCAAUCAACGAAAGUUGGACCCAGAGAUGUCGCCUUUUAGGGUUUUAUGACUUCGAUGGGCGCCUUAGACCUUUGAUUUACCAACGACCGACCAAAAGCCAAUUGGGGGGUCGUUGGUCGAUCGGUCGUUGGCACCCCGUUCGACGUCUUUUUAGGGGCCAGGAUCCAUUGGAUCCCACCGGGCCCGGCCCACGGCGCCUUUUGGCGCCCAGUCCGUCAAAAAGACGUGCCAGCAGACGCGGUUAUACGUCUGGACUGAGUUUUAACCAAAAAACAGGCGUAAAGUGUGAAGAGGGUGGGUGUUUGGCAAAGGGGGGUUUUCGGCCACCGCUGGCUCCCCUUACUUUUGGACCCGGUUUAAUCCGGGUCUUGCCCGCUAUACAGAGAAAAAAAAGGUAAUUGGUACUUUUAGGUAUUGGUGAAAUAAUUCAAUCUAAAAUGGAACACCGGAGACGAAGGUUAAUUACCAAAAAGUUCUGUCACUUUUUUUCACGAAAACAUAGGGAACAAACAGGAUUAGAUACCCUGGUAGUCUAUUGUUGUAAAAGCUGAUCUAUCGCGGCAUAAUUUCCAUGUCGCCUUGAUAACUCGAAAAGAUUCCGCCUGAAUAGUACGACCGCAAGGUUGAAAUUCAAAAAAUUUGGCGGUUCACUAAUCCAAUUAGAGGAGCGUGUAGUUUAAUGCGAUGAUCCGCGAAUAACCUUACCAGAACUUGAAUAAAAGGAAUCGACCGUCGACCGACCAAUCGGUACCGUACUAGUCGAACCGAGAUUUCGGACCCUUCGUUGGUUGGGGCCCCUUUUACAGGUAUCGCACGGCCGUCGUCAGUUUGUGUUGUGAAACUUUUUAACGAACUUAACCCCUUUUUUGAUAAAAAUGGGGCCUCAAAAAGAGAGAUUUCCUCUGGGCGCCAAAGGCGCCGAGGCUUAUUUGUAGCAAAAUAGGCGGAUCGGCGCCUUCGGCGCCAUCCGCCCACCAAUGACUGCCCGACCGAUUGGGGGGACCCCCCCCAAUCGGUCGGUCAUUGGCUCCCCUUUUCCCCCUUUUUAUCUUUUUUUUUGGGAUGACGUCAGGUCUUCAUGGUCCAAAUGUUCUGGGCCCGGCGCCUUUUGGCGCCCGAUGCGCUACAAUCUUUUAUACAAAAUAAAUUUUUGUUUUGGGGGUUCGGAUCCAAAGGAUCUACCCCCCCGUUAUUUAACAUAAAAGUUCGGAGAAAGGUCUGAAAGGUCCUUUUGAAGUUGGAUUUAAUAGUAAUCGUAAAGUAGAGCGUUACGGUGAAUAUGGCUCUAGUGUUCGUACAAAUCGCCCGUCAACUCGACCGAGUUUUAAAUGUUAAAAGAAACUUAUAAGCUUUUUAGUAUAUAUGGCCGCCGAGUCCGGGCCCGGCUUUUACCGGGCCCCAAAGUCGCUCGAAGGGGCCGGCCAAUCAAUUCGAUCGUACCGUACCGUACCGUACCGUACCGUACCGUACCGUACCGUACCGUACCGUACCGUACCGUACCGUACCGUACCCCCCUCUGAAAGAAGUUUUGGAAUUUUGAGACUUUUGAAAUUAGGUUGAGUAAGUCGUAACAAAGCAAGAGUACUGGAAAGUGUUCUUG
This 2046-nucleotide ribosomal RNA is filed under the name Placozoa sp. H17 HM-2017. Its description in RNAcentral is "rns". It matches the Rfam family "Bacterial small subunit ribosomal RNA". The record is from RNAcentral. Lineage: Eukaryota; Metazoa; Placozoa.